Molecule: unclassified non-coding RNA, 271 nt
Filed under: Gnomoniopsis clavulata
Lineage: Eukaryota; Fungi; Ascomycota; Sordariomycetes; Diaporthales; Gnomoniaceae
Description: partial internal transcribed spacer region
Rfam family: Eukaryotic small subunit ribosomal RNA (bases 1-46)
Source: RNAcentral
AAGUCGUAACAAGGUCUCCGUUGGUGAACCAGCGGAGGGAUCAUUGCUGGAAUACACGCCCUCACGGGUGCUACCCAGAAACCCUUUGUGAAUUAUACUAUAACCUGUUGCCUCGGCAGUGACUGGCUUUCUCUGAAAGUCCCUUUUUUGUUUUUUCGAAAAAGGAGCAGGUCGGCCGGUGGCCCUAUAAACUCUUUGUUUUUACUAUGUAUCUUCUGAGUAAACAACUAUAAAUGAAUCAAAACUUUUAACAACGGAUCUCUUGGUUCUG